This 550-nucleotide ribosomal RNA is filed under the name uncultured bacterium. RNAcentral describes it as "bacterial SSU rRNA". It matches the Rfam family "Bacterial small subunit ribosomal RNA", at positions 355 to 896 of the family's 1533-position model. The record is from RNAcentral.
UAGGGAAUCUUCGGCAAUGGGGGCAACCCUGACCGAGCAACGCCGCGUGAGUGAAGAAGGUUUUCGGAUCGUAAAGCUCUGUUGUAAGAGAAGAACGUGUGUGAGAGUGGAAAGUUCACACAGUGACGGUAACUUACCAGAAAGGGACGGCUAACUACGUGCCAGCAGCCGCGGUAAUACGUAGGUCCCGAGCGUUGUCCGGAUUUAUUGGGCUUAAAGCGAGCGCAGGCGGUUUAAUAAGUCUGAAGUUAAAGGCAGUGGCUUAACCAUUGUUCGCUUUGGAAACUGUUAAACUUGAGUGCAGAAGGGGAGAGUGGAAUUCCAUGUGUAGCGGUGAAAUGCGUAGAUAUAUGGAGGAACACCGGUGGCGAAAGCGGCUCUCUGGUCUGUAACUGACGCUGAGGCUCGAAAGCGUGGGGAGCAAACAGGAUUAGAUACCCUGGUAGUCCACGCCGUAAACGAUGAGUGCUAGGUGUUAGGCCCUUUCCGGGGCUUAGUGCCGCAGCUAACGCAUUAAGCACUCCGCCUGGGGAGUACGACCGCAAGGUUG